Acipenser ruthenus (sterlet) is the source of this 1893-nucleotide long non-coding RNA. RefSeq lists it as uncharacterized. The record is from RefSeq and is a predicted model, not a curated record. NCBI's taxonomy places the organism in Eukaryota, Metazoa, Chordata, Actinopteri, Acipenseriformes, Acipenseridae. The transcript has 6 exons.
UUGUGUAACAUAAUAUGCGUUUAGUCUACAGAAAGUUCUAGAAUAAAUGGGGUUUAAUUUAUUAGAAACAUAACCUGUAACAUACCAUAAACCAACAGAACUCAAUCUAUCUUUUUAGUGUAGUAUUAGUAUUUCAUGUUCACCAUAUAAAUCAUCUGAAUCUAGAAAAAUAACACAACCGAAUAAGAGAAAGGAAGAUGGUGUUCUCAUGCAAAUUUGGUAGCUGGAAACAUCAAUCCAGUGGAUAUGAGCUAUCGGCUGACAGAAAGCUCAUGCCUGAUGAAUCCUGAGCAGUGAAGCCUUUGACCUGGAGUGUAUGAGGCUAACUGGCAGUUAUUGGCGACUCCACAUUGUCACAACAGGGUUUAUUACACUGAGAUGCAACCCAGAAUAAUAACUUAUUAAAUGUUCAGACACAGGCAGACAUUUUAAGGAACAGAGCUUCACUUUGCAGUGUCCAGCUGGCUGUGCAACAGAGAACUAUUCAGUGUGGGGUUCAGACAGCUACACAGAGGAUUCCUCUGUUUGUGCAGCUGCCAUCCACGUAGGUACAAUCCCUCGUUCUGGUGGAUCUGUGACUGUGGAAAAAAGAGCCAGCCAGGGCAGCUAUACAGGAACAACAAGAAAUGGAGUGACGAUCCAAAGGUACAACUGAGACCAUUUCUUGCUCCCACCAAGCCCGAGCAUUUGCUGAAAACCGAUUUAAGUAAGUAUUGCAACUCUCCUGCAAUGCAACAGCAGUAUGGUAAAUUGGUAGGAUUGUUACAGUCCACAGGCCUCAGAUACAGUCAUUUCAGUUUUUGUUGUACUUUUUUUCUCACUAGUAGAAAAGAGCCUCAAGCUAGCUCUUGCUCAGCAUUUUUUGCACUCAUUGACAGGGGCCUGUCUGUACAGGACUCUUCAGACAAAACACUCUGUAUGCAGGCUGACUCGAGCUUCACAGAUCCCAUAAUCUGCCUGUUAAAAGGCUUUGACAAGUAUUGGAGUUUUUAAGGCUCUGCUUAUUAAAAUGUUAUGUAUCUGUUAAUAUUGAGUCAGCAACAGCUCUUGCAGUACUUCAGUUUAUUCAGUUGUGUUCAAACUUCCUUCUCUUUUGGAAAAAGAAGCUGUAUCUGCUGUGUUAUUCAACCCGGCUUAAAAAAAUACCAAUUAAUAAGUACAAAAGAGGACAACGUUUUCUAUAAAAGACAGGAAAACAUCUCCAAAAUUGGAUUUUUUUCUGGCAAGGCAAAACAGCCUCACUGGCUGAGAUUACAUUCCUUGAUUUAUGCUGGCACCUGCUGGAAAAAAAUAUAAUUACACAGUAUUACCAUUUAUACAUGUGAAGCUCAAUAGGUUGAGUUCUACCAAAAAUAUGUCUUUCUUUGUCCAGCACUAAAAGCAUGUGCCUGAAGUGUGAAGAAAAUGCAUUUGAAAUGAAAGUGUUGACUGCACUAUGAAAUGGGGAGCACUUAAACGAACAGCAUCAUUUAAACAGGGUGCAAUAGUACAUCUAUUACCUGUUUCAUACCCUAUUAUGUGAGUUUUUAGAUGACUUAACAUAUUAUAGUCACAACUGUGGACUCAAAAACGUUGCAAAAAAGUGAAUGACUUACCUUCAAAUAUUACUGUGCAUUUAUCUUUAUGAACAGAGUAGUUUCUUUUUAAAUAUAGUAAUGUGGGUAUAUUUGGCAGUUACGGAACUGUAUUAUAAGGAAGCAUGUUUGUGGAUUAUACUUUAUUUUGUAUGCUUCUUCACUUGUGUUUUUCACAAACUGUGCAUCGCAGAGCAGCUCUGUGUGGGGAACAGAUGUCUACACUGAUGUAACAAUUCAACCUUUGAACUCAUAGAACAAUAAGGAUGAGAUGGUGGUAAAGAGACAUGUGCACAAAAUAAAUAAAGAAUGGUAGUAU